Molecule: ribosomal RNA, 253 nt
Filed under: uncultured bacterium
Lineage: Bacteria
Description: partial 16S ribosomal RNA
Rfam family: Bacterial small subunit ribosomal RNA
Source: RNAcentral
GACAGAGGGUGCAAACGUUGUUCGGAAUUACUGGGCGUAAAGCGCGUGUAGGCGGCCCUGCAAGUCGGAUGUGAAAUCCCACGGCUCAACCGUGGAAGUGCAUUUGAAACUGCAGGGCUAGAGUCCUGGAGAGGAAGGUGGAAUGCUUGGUGUAGAGGUGAAAUUCGUAGAUAUCAAGCGGAACACCGGUGGCGAAGGCGGCCUUCUGGACAGUGACUGACGCUGAGACGCGAAAGCGUGGGGAACAAACAGG